Molecule: ribosomal RNA, 468 nt
Filed under: uncultured bacterium
Lineage: Bacteria
Description: partial 16S ribosomal RNA
Rfam family: Bacterial small subunit ribosomal RNA
Source: RNAcentral
GACGAACGCUGGCGGCGUGCUUAACACAUGCAAGUCGAACGGAAAGGCCCUGCUUUUGUGGGGUGCUCGAGUGGCGAACGGGUGAGUAACACGUGAGUAACCUGCCCUUGACUUUGGGAUAACUUCAGGAAACUGGGGCUAAUACCGGAUAGGAGCUCCUGCUGCAUGGUGGGGGUUGGAAAGUUUCGGCGGUUGGGGAUGGACUCGCGGCUUAUCAGCUUGUUGGUGGGGUAGUGGCUUACCAAGGCUUUGACGGGUAGCCGGCCUGAGAGGGUGACCGGCAAAAUUGGGACUGAGAUACGGCCAAGAGUCCUACGGGAGGAAGAAGGGGGGAAUAGUGCACAAUGGGCGGAAGCCUGAUGCAGCAACGCCGCGUGCGGGAUGACGGCCGUCGGGUUGUAAACCGCUUUCGCCUGUGACGAAGCGUGAGUGACGGUAAUGGGUAAAGAAGCACCGGCGAGCUACGUG